ACGGGAGGCAGCAGUGGGGGAUAUUGCACAAUGGGGGAAACCCUGAUGUAGCGACGCCGCGUGAGUGAAGAAGUAUUUCGGUAUGUAAAGCUCUAUCAGCAGGGAAGAAAAUGACGGUACCUGACUAAGAAGCUCCGGCUAAAUACGUGCCAGCAGCCGCGGUAAUACGUAUGGAGCAAGCGUUAUCCGGAUUUACUGGGUGUAAAGGGAGCGUAGACGGCGAGGCAAGUCUGAUGUGAAAGCUAUGGGCUCAACCCAUAAACUGCAUUGGAAACUGUCUUGCUUGAGUGUCGGAGAGGUAAGCGGAAUUCCUAGUGUAGCGGUGAAAUGCGUAGAUAUUAGGAGGAACACCAGUGGCGAAGGCGGCUUACUGGACGAUAACUGACGUUGAGGCUCGAAAGCGUGGGGAGCAAACAGGAUUAGAUACCCUGGUA
This 434-nucleotide ribosomal RNA is filed under the name uncultured Ruminococcus sp. Its description in RNAcentral is "partial 16S ribosomal RNA". It matches the Rfam family "Bacterial small subunit ribosomal RNA", at positions 341 to 792 of the family's 1533-position model. Lineage: Bacteria; Bacillati; Bacillota; Clostridia; Eubacteriales; Oscillospiraceae. The record is from RNAcentral.